UACGUAGGGUGCGAGCGUUAAUCGGAAUUACUGGGCGUAAAGCGUGCGCAGGCGGUUUUGUAAGUCUGUCGUGAAAGCCCCGGGCUCAACCUGGGAAUUGCGAUGGAGACUGCAAGGCUUGAAUCUGGCAGAGGGGGGUAGAAUUCCACGUGUAGCAGUGAAAUGCGUAGAGAUGUGGAGGAACACCGAUGGCGAAGGCAGCCCCCUGGGUCAAGAUUGACGCUCAUGCACGAAAGCGUGGGGAGCAAACAGG
This 253-nucleotide ribosomal RNA is filed under the name uncultured bacterium. RNAcentral describes it as "partial 16S ribosomal RNA". It matches the Rfam family "Bacterial small subunit ribosomal RNA", at positions 524 to 776 of the family's 1533-position model. The record is from RNAcentral.